CCAGCAGAAUAACCCACAUUCAGAAACUUUCAAUCAAGGCUGGAGAAAACACCCAAAUUUCUCUUGGAGCAACCAGAAUCAAAAUAGACCACAAGGGCAAUAUCAGCAGCAAGACAAAAAGCCAAAUUUGGAGGACAUGUUCGAGAAAUUUAUGACACACACCAAUCAGUACAUGGAAGCCAAUAACCAAUUUAUGCGAAGGACGGAAACAACGCUUCAAG
This 221-nucleotide long non-coding RNA is filed under the name Olea europaea (common olive). RNAcentral describes it as "long non-coding RNA (OEUR_LNC001397)". The record is from RNAcentral. Lineage: Eukaryota; Viridiplantae; Streptophyta; Magnoliopsida; Lamiales; Oleaceae.